AAGUCUUCUGGGAAAUCUAAUCGCUUAACUAUUAGGCUUCCAGGGGAUAUUGUUAGACUUGGGACCGGGAGAGGUAAGAGGUACUGCAGGGGUAGGAGUGAAAUCUUGUAAUCCCUGUGAGACCACCAGUGGCGAAGGCGUCUUACCAGAACGGGUCCGACGGUGAGGGACGAAAGCUGGGGGCACAAACCGGAUUAGAUACCCGGGUAGUCCCAGCUGUAAACGAUGCUCGUUAGGUGUCAGGAACGGUGCGACUGUUUCUGGUGCCGAAGGGAAGCCGUGAAACGAGCCACCUGGGAAGUACGGCCGCAAGGCUGAAACUUAAAGGAAUUGGCGGGGGAGCACUACAACGGGUGGAGCCUGCGGUUUAAUUGGACUCAACGCCGGAAAACUCACCGGGGGCGACAGCAAUAUGUAGGUCAGGUUAAAGGUCUUACCUGAAUCGCUGAGAGGAGGUGCAUGGCCGUCGUCAGUUCGUACUGUGAAGCAUCCUGUUAAGUCAGGCAACGAGCAAGACCCGUGCCCACUGUUACCAGCAUAUCCUUUAUGGAUGAUGGGGACUCUGUGGGGACCGCUGCUGCUAAAGCAGAGGAAGGUGCGGGCUACGGUAGGUCAGUAUGCCCCGAAUCUCCCGGGCUACACGCGGGCUACAAUGGUUGGGACAAUGGGUAUCUACUCCGAAAGGAGUUGGCAAUCUCUUAAACCCAAUCGUAGUUCGAAUUGAGGGCUAUAACUCGCCCUCAUGAAGCUGGAAUCCGUAGUAAUCGCGUUUCAACAUAGCGCGG
RNAcentral lists this ribosomal RNA (785 nucleotides) under uncultured archaeon. RNAcentral's name for it is "bacterial SSU rRNA". It matches the Rfam family "Archaeal small subunit ribosomal RNA", at positions 535 to 1318 of the family's 1478-position model. The record is from RNAcentral.